AGAGUUUGAUCCUGGCUCAGAAUGAACGCUGGCGGCGUGCCUAACACAUGCAAGUCGCACGAGAACGUUUCAGCUUGCUGAGACUAUUAAAGUGGCGCACGGGUGAGUAACGCGUGGGUAAUCUACCUCCGAAUUGGGGAUAACACUGCGAAAGCGGUGCUAAUACCGAAUGAUAUCCCCGAGACUCUGGUCUUGGUGAUCAAAGGUGGCCUCUACAUGUAAGCUAUUGUUUGGAGAUGAGCCCGCGUACCAUUAGCUUGUUGGUAGGGUAACGGCCUACCAAGGCUUCGAUGGUUAGCUGGUCUGAGAGGAUGAUCAGCCACACUGGAACUGACACACGGUCCAGACUCCUACGGGAGGCAGCAGUGAGGAAUUUUGCGCAAUGGGGGAAACCCUGACGCAGCAACGCCGCGUGAGUGAUGAAGGCUUUCGGGUCGUAAAGCUCUGUCAAGUGGGAAGAACCUGCUUCGUGCCAAUACCACGAGGCACUGACGGUACCACUGAAGGAAGCACCGGCUAACUCCGUGCCAGCAGCCGCGGUAAUACGGGGGGUGCUAGCGUUAUUCGGAAUCAUUGGGCGUAAAGGGCGCGUAGGCGGUCGCUUAAGUCAGAUGUGAAAGCCCUCGGCUUAACCGAGGAAGUGCAUUUGAUACUAGGCGACUUGAGUAUGGGAGAGGGAAGCGGAAUUCCUGGUGUAGCGGUGAAAUGCGUAGAUAUCAGGAGGAACACCGGUGGCGAAGGCGGCUUCCUGGACCAAUACUGACGCUGAGGCGCGAAAGGCGUGGGGAGCAAACAGGAUU
RNAcentral lists this ribosomal RNA (800 nucleotides) under uncultured bacterium. RNAcentral describes it as "bacterial SSU rRNA". It matches the Rfam family "Bacterial small subunit ribosomal RNA", at positions 8 to 779 of the family's 1533-position model. The record is from RNAcentral.